RNAcentral lists this ribosomal RNA (253 nucleotides) under uncultured bacterium. RNAcentral describes it as "partial 16S ribosomal RNA". It matches the Rfam family "Bacterial small subunit ribosomal RNA", at positions 524 to 776 of the family's 1533-position model. The record is from RNAcentral.
UACAGAGGGUGCAAGCGUUAAUCGGAAUUACUGGGCGUAAAGUGUGCGCAGGCGGCCGCGCAAGUCGAGUGUGAAAUCCCCGAGCUUAACUUGGGAAUUGCGCUCGAAACUACGUGGCUGGAGUGUGGCAGAGGAAGGUGGAAUUCCACGUGUAGCGGUGAAAUGCGUAGAGAUGUGGAGGAACACCGAUGGCGAAGGCAGCCUUCUGGGCCAACACUGACGCUCAUGCACGAAAGCGUGGGGAGCAAACAGG